UUCCAGACUCCUACGGGAGGCAGCAGUGGGGAAUAUUGCACAAUGGGGGAAACCCUGAUGCAGCGACGCCGCGUGAGCGAUGAAGUAUUUCGGUAUGUAAAGCUCUAUCAGCAGGGAAGAAGAUGACGGUACCUGACUAAGAAGCCCCGGCUAACUACGUGCCAGCAGCCGCGGUAAUACGUAGGGGGCAAGCGUUAUCCGGAUUUACUGGGUGUAAAGGGAGCGUAGACGGCGGUGCAAGCCAGAUGUGAAAGCCCGGGGCUCAACCCCGGGACUGCAUUUGGAACUGUAUGGCUGGAGUGUCGGAGAGGCAGGCGGAAUUCCUAGUGUAGCGGUGAAAUGCGUAGAUAUUAGGAGGAACACCAGCGGCGAAGGCGGCCUGCUGGACGAUGACUGACGUUGAGGCUCGAAAGCGUGGGGAGCAAACAGGAUUAGAUACCCCGGUAUAC
Molecule: ribosomal RNA, 449 nt
Filed under: uncultured bacterium
Lineage: Bacteria
Description: bacterial SSU rRNA
Rfam family: Bacterial small subunit ribosomal RNA
Source: RNAcentral